RNAcentral lists this transfer RNA (77 nucleotides) under Acidobacteriaceae bacterium. RNAcentral describes it as "tRNA-Arg". It matches the Rfam family "tRNA". From Rfam's summary of the family: Transfer RNA (tRNA) molecules are approximately 80 nucleotides in length. Their secondary structure includes four short double-helical elements and three loops (D, anti-codon, and T loops). RNAcentral also lists the same sequence under 1 other name. The record is from RNAcentral. Lineage: Bacteria; Pseudomonadati; Acidobacteriota; Terriglobia; Terriglobales; Acidobacteriaceae.
GGCCCCGUAGCUCAACUGGAUAGAGCAUCAGUCUUCGGAACUGAGGGUUGCAGGUUCGAGUCCUGCCGGGGUCGCCA